This 457-nucleotide ribosomal RNA is filed under the name uncultured Sphingobacteriales bacterium. Its description in RNAcentral is "bacterial SSU rRNA". It matches the Rfam family "Bacterial small subunit ribosomal RNA", at positions 925 to 1382 of the family's 1533-position model. The record is from RNAcentral. Lineage: Bacteria; Pseudomonadati; Bacteroidota; Sphingobacteriia; Sphingobacteriales.
ACAAGCGGAGGAGCAUGUGGUUUAAUUCGAUGAUACGCGAGGAACCUUACCUGGGCUCGAACGUAAGAUGACUGUAGGUGAAAGCUUACAUCUCUUCGGAGCAUUUUACGAGGUGCUGCAUGGUUGUCGUCAGCUCGUGCCGUGAGGUGUCGGGUUAAGUCCCAUAACGAGCGCAACCCCUACCUUAGUUGCCAUCAGGUUAAGCUGGGGACUCUAAAGGAACUGCCUACGCAAGUAGUGAGGAAGGCGGGGAUGACGUCGAAAUCAGCACGGCCCUUACGUCCAGGGCUACACACGUGCUACAAUGGCCGAUACAGAGGGCAGCUACCUGGUGACAGGAUGCAAAUCUCCAAAGUCGGUCUCAGUUCGGAUCGGAGUCUGCAACCCGACUCCGUGAAGUUGGAUUCGCUAGUAAUCGCGCAUCAGCCAUGGCGCGGUGAAUACGUUCCCGGGCCUU